This 862-nucleotide long non-coding RNA is filed under the name Oryza sativa Indica Group (long-grained rice). Its description in RNAcentral is "lncRNA OsZS97_07G019800". Lineage: Eukaryota; Viridiplantae; Streptophyta; Magnoliopsida; Poales; Poaceae. The record is from RNAcentral.
AUGUUAACGACUGUCAUACUGCUCUGGAAUUGGUGGGAUGCAAGAAACAAAGUGAAUGCUGGGGAGGAUAGGAGAACGCAUGAAGAGGUAUAUAGCAGAGUCAUAAGGAUGGUGUCAGAAAACUCCUUGCUCUUUCGGGACAACGCUCGGGGAAAUCCUAGCAGUCAAAGGACAUGGUGUCCGCCUCCCCAGGGUGUUCUAAAGCUGAACAUUGAUGGUGCUUUCCAGGCGGCUAAUCUAAGUGGUGGCUGGGGCUUUAUCCUUCGGGACCAUGAGGGGAAUGGGGUCCUGGCUGGAGUAGGACGAAUCGAACUGGUGCAUGAUGCGCUUAGCGCGGAAGCCGUCGCUUGUCUGCAUGCCUUGCGUGCUGUUCUAAAUCAUGGCUUUUCGUAUUUCUCUGUUGAAACAGAUAGCUCCAUCCUGGUGAGCGCACUAGACUCCGCUUGCUACGACCAGUCUACAGCGGGCAUGACUUUUAAACAAAUUAGAACUCUGCUCCGUAUGGACUUAGGUAUGAUCAAAGUGUCUUUUGCUAAUCGUUCAUGUAAUAGUUGUGCUCAUGAACUGGCCCGGAAAGGGGCUAGUUGGGACCCUAUGUCACUCCACCUCGAAGGUCAAGUUUCAUCUGACGUUGCUGCCUCCCGGCUGCUUCCCUGCGACAACCCUUUGCUUAGCCACCUUUGCUCACGACCGGUUCCCCCCGAGCACUAUAUGGCCAGGUCCAACAAGGAGAUGGCAACGGUGAGGAAGAACUUGAACGGGAACAUAGAGGCAAGGGAGGGCAUCGAUCUUAACAACGUCAAUGAUGUGGGGAUGGGUUUGGAGGAGAUUGCUAAUUGGGUUGCUUAUUGACAUGCAAGGA